This 1290-nucleotide long non-coding RNA is filed under the name Olea europaea subsp. europaea. Lineage: Eukaryota; Viridiplantae; Streptophyta; Magnoliopsida; Lamiales; Oleaceae. The record is from RNAcentral.
AUUCUAUAAAAUUACGGGAUUUUUACACUCCCCCUCAAGUUGAUCAUAGAUAUUGACCAUAUUCAACUUGUAGAUGAAAUCAUCAAAAUUUUGUUUGUGUAGCCCUUUGGUGAAUAUAUCUGAUGUUUGUUUUUUGGUGGGGAUAUAGGUCAUGCAAAUAGUUCCGUCUUCAACUUUUUCCUUUAUGAAGUGUAUGUCCACCUCUACAUGUUUAGUUCGGUCAUGUUGUACUAGAUUGAGUGAAAUAUUGAUGACUGCUUUGUUAUCGCAAUAGAGCUUAAUUGGGAAUUUCAUUGUAACUUGUAGUUCUUUCAAGAGUUUUUUUAACCACAAUCCUUCACAUAUCCCUUGAGCUACUGCUCUGAACUCUGCUUUAGUACCGCUCCUUGCUACUACAUUCUGUUUCUUACUUCGCCAGGUUGCUAAGUUUCCCCAUAUGAAUGUACAAUAACCAGUAGUAGAUCUCUUGUCUUCUAUUGCUCCAGCCCAAUCAGCAUCAGUGAAUAUUUCUAUGUCCCUUUUUUCUUAUUUCUUGAACCAUAGUCCUUUUCCAGGUGAACCUUUGAGAUACCUCAAAAUUCUGUAUAUUGCUUCUAGAUGAGUCUCCAUUGGAGAAUGCAUAUGUUGACUUAUCACACUUACGGCGAAUGCAAUGUCAGGUCUAGUAUGUGAUAAGUAGAUUAAUUUUCCAACUAGUCGCUGAUAUUUGUCCUUUUCUACUGGUUCAUCCAUGUCAGUUUUCCUACCAGUAUCAAUGGGAUUGUCACUUGGUUUACACCCGAGCAUGCUUGUUUCAAUUAACAGGUCCAAAAUAUAUUUUCGUUGUGAAACACUAAUACCGUUCUUUGAACUGGCUACUUCCAUUCCAAGGAAAUAUCGCAUUUGUCCAAGAUUCUUUACUUCAAAUUCGGUGGCUAGGCCCCUUUUUAGCCUCUCAAUCUCGAUUGUAUUAUCUCCAGUAAGCACUAUGUUAUCAACAUAUACAAUCAAAAUGGUCUUUGUCCCAUCUUCAAAUAUUUUGAAGAACAUAGUGUGAUCUGAUUGCCCCUGUCGAUAUGCCUGCCUUUUUAAUACAUUUGAAAAUUUAUCAAACCACGUUCUUUGUGAUUGUUUGAGUCUGUGCAAAGACUUUUUUAGUUUGCAUACUUUGUUCUCUUCUCCUUUCUUGUCGAAACCAGGCGGUAAUGUCAUGUAGACUUCUUCUUCCAAUUCCCUAUUCUAAAAUGCAUUUUUGAUGUCAAGUUGUUGUAGUGGCCAAUCUAAGUUUGCUGAUAGUGAUAAGAGGACCCG